GCGCACGUAGCUCAGUUGGUAGAGCGCCGAGCUUAUACCUCGGUGGUCCCAGGUUCGAGUCCUGGCGUGCGCACAA
This 76-nucleotide transfer RNA is filed under the name Candidatus Campbellbacteria bacterium RIFCSPHIGHO2_01_FULL_34_10. RNAcentral's name for it is "tRNA-Ile". It matches the Rfam family "tRNA". From Rfam's summary of the family: Transfer RNA (tRNA) molecules are approximately 80 nucleotides in length. RNAcentral also lists the same sequence under 2 other names. The record is from RNAcentral. Lineage: Bacteria; Candidatus Campbelliibacteriota.